Molecule: ribosomal RNA, 497 nt
Filed under: uncultured bacterium
Lineage: Bacteria
Description: partial 16S ribosomal RNA
Rfam family: Bacterial small subunit ribosomal RNA
Source: RNAcentral
GAUGAACGCUGGCGGCGUGCCUAAUACAUGCAAGUCGAGCGAACGGACGAGGAGCUUGCUCCUCUGACGUUAGCGGCGGACGGGUGAGUAACACGUGGAUAACCUACCUAUAAGACUGGGAUAACUUCGGGAAACCGGAGCUAAUACCGGAUAAUAUUUUGAACCGCAUGGUUCAAAAGUGAAAGACGGUUUUGCUGUCACUUAUAGAUGGAUCCGCGCCGCAUUAGCUAGUUGGUAAGGUAACGGCUUACCAAGGCAACGAUGCGUAGCCGACCUGAGAGGGUGAUCGGCCACACUGGAACUGAGACACGGUCCAGACUCCUACGGGAGGCAGCAGUAGGGAAUCUUCCGCAAUGGGCGAAAGCCUGACGGAGCAACGCCGCGUGAGUGAUGAAGGUCUUCGGAUCGUAAAACUCUGUUAUUAGGGAAGAACAUAUGUGUAAGUAACUAUGCACGUCUUGACGGUACCUAAUCAGAAAGCCACGGCUAACUACGUG